UACGGCGAAGUGGUAAUGUGCCUACAAGAAAGUUGGGUUUUGGUUUAGUUGGGUCUGGAAAACGAGCUGCAGUUCCUUCAGUUUUCCAUGAAGAAGAUGAUGAUGAUGCACACAAGGAGAAAAAGCAAAAAAAUGAGGCCUCUGGUUCCCAUUGAUUAUUCAACAGAGGAAUUGCAGGCAGUUCAACCUACUGUUUCAGGAGCACAACAACCAAGUCUUGCUGCUGCUGCAGAAUUUGCAAAACGCAUAUCUAAUGUUACUCCAAAAGAAGAGAAGCUUGAUGUGGAAAGAGAAAGAAGUAGACGUUCUCAUGAUAGGUCAAGUCAGCGAGACAGAGACAGGAUUGGUGAAGAUAUUAAAUGCAUGAGAGAUGAAAAGGAUAAGAUCCUUGAACGGGACAGGAACCAGGAACAUGGGUUGGACAAAGCAAAAACACCAGAUAAGCAGAAACUUUUGGAUGCAAAGCAGUU
This 470-nucleotide unclassified non-coding RNA is filed under the name Hevea brasiliensis (rubber tree). Lineage: Eukaryota; Viridiplantae; Streptophyta; Magnoliopsida; Malpighiales; Euphorbiaceae. The record is from RNAcentral.